UUUUUUUUUCGUCUUUCCUUUGCGUUUUUUGUUCUUUUUUUCAAUAAUUCAGGAUAUCAAACAGCUUUUAAAUUUCAGUAAAAGAUACUAAUUAAAAAAAACAAUCAUGAUUUCGAUUUUUUUAUCAUUAUUUCAAAUAUGCUCGGGAAUUCAAAAAAUAUUCAUGAAUUUGCAAAAAAAAUGUUCAGAAAUUCAAAAAUGUUCAUGAUUUCAAAAAAAGUUCAUGCAUUCGCGGAACGUUCAAGAAUUUGAAAAAAAUAUUCAUGAUUACAAAAAAUGUUCACAAAUUUAAAAAAUGAUCACGAAUAUAAAAAAUUGUUCAUGAUUUCAAAAAAAGUUCAUGCAUUCACGAAAUGUUCACCAAUUUGCAAAAGAUGUUCAUGAUUACAAAAAAUUGUCUGGAUUUUAAGAUAAUAUUCACGGUUCAAAAAGAUAAUAUUCACGGUUCAAAAAAAUGUUUGUUAAUUUGAAAAAAUGUUCAUGUAUUGGUACAAAAUGUUCAUGAUUCCAAAUGAAUGAUCUUUUUUUAAUUUUACGAACAUAGUUUGAACAUCGGUGAACAAAUUUGGCAUUUGAUGAACAUUUUUUUUAAUUUGAAGAACAAAAUUUGUGUUAGACAAAAAUUUUGUAAAAAAAUUGUAUUCGAUGAACAUUAUUUUGAAAAAAUGAUGAACAAAUUUUUAGUUCAGUGAACAAAAUUUUGAAUGUGAUGAGCAAAAAAUUCAAUGAAAAAACAGAAACCGAUGAACAUUUUUUAAGUUUGACGAACAACUUUUCAAUAUUUAUGAACAGUUUUUAAAUCUGAUGAACAAAAAAUUGAAUUGGAUGAACAUGUUUUGGAUUGUUGAACAUUUUCUUGCAUGGUAGAACAUUUUUUUGAAGUCGAUGAACAAAAUAAGUUGUUAAUGAAUUCGAAAUAAAAAAUGCCAAAAAUAGUCAAAAAGUGAAGAAGAAGAAGAAAAUAGGAAAAAAGGGAAAGAAAAACCUAAAAAGGAAAAAAUGAAAGAAACAAUUGAAAAGAACAGAAAAACAGAAAAAACCAGUAUAGAAAACAUAAAAAAAACAUAAAAACUGGUUCUACAAAGGUUCUAGGACCUUCCCAAAAAUGGCAGAACCAGAAAAAGGGAAGCGAACUGGGCCGGCCCAAAAGACACAGGGGGUACGCGCUACAGUGUUACCCGGCGACCUACGCACCAUAUAGGAACCCCGCUCCCUGAAGGCGAGACAUAGGGAUGCCCAGUUUCCUCACCUAGUUCCUAGCGCCAACGCUAAGGGCGCGUACAAUGGUGCUAUCUUAGGAGUGCUACGUAGGAUAGAUAAUGAAGUGGAGGAGAGAGAAGUCAUAAGAAACGGAUUGUCUUCCCUUAUUUAAGAGAAGACAAGUGAUGAUCUCUUAGCAUAAUAUGUUUCACCAUGUUUUUAGGAAUUACUAAUUAUUGAAGAUAAGGCUAAGAGAUGACCCAUUGUAGACGUUUUUUUGUCAUAUCUAAAUUACAUGCAAGAUUUAAGAUAAAACUAUCUUAUCAACCAUUGUACAUGCCCUAAGGGGCCGGCCAAGUAACAAGUCUGCAUGUGGCGGUUCCUGCUGUCUAUGCAAAUAUUUUUCUAGGAAGUUUUUCAAGCGGGGAUUUGUUUAUUCUUGAUGGGUUUUCUACUAACAUACUUUCGAAAGUUAAGAGAAUGUUCGCAAGUUUCAUGAAUUCAAAAAUGUACAUGCAGUUUUAAAAUUGUUCAUGGAUUUAAAAAAUAUUUACAAAUUUCACAAAAAACUCUGAAUUUUGAAAAAAAAUCGCGAUUGUCAGAAAUGUUCUCGCAUUUGCCAAUUUUGAUGGACUAUAAAAUGUUCAAAAAUUUAAAAAAUAUGUUUGUACCUUUAUUUAAUUUGGGGAAAGAGAGAACCAAGAAGCAGAAAUAAAAAAGGGCAAAAGAAAAAAGAAAUAAAAAUCAAAAGAAAACCAGUGGAAAGAAGCACACACACAAAAAGAUAAUGGGUCGGGGAAGGUUAAAAUUCUCAAAACCCGUAGGAGAAAGACAUGGAAAGAACAAAGAAAUAGGCUGACUCAGUUAGCUUGUUUGCAUCGAGUGACAUGUCUCGCUUUGUGCGAGACACAUCAAGCGCUCACCGCAAGGGCGCCAUUACGAGUUGCUCAAAAAUAUAAAAUAAGGGCGCCCUUUCAUCGCUUUUAUAUUGGACCGAGCCAAGGACCUUUCAUUCAUUUUUUCAACUUUUUACCUUUGUUUGUAUUUUUGAAAAUAUUUCCAAUACAUGUAUUUCAAAACUUACUUUACUUUUUUGUUGUACCGUCGACCAAACAAUACAAAAAUGUUAACGUUGUGUAAAAUUUUGUUCACGAGAAGAAAUAAUGGUACUCCCUUCUUCCAUCUAAAAAGGGUCUAAUACGUUUUUUGAGACUAACAUUGACCAAAUGUUAGAGCAAUAAUAUAUGACAUGCAACUUACACAAAAUAUACCCUUAAAUUCGUAUAUGAAAGGAACUUCCAAUGAUAUAAUUUUCACAUUGUACAUCUUAUGUACUAUUAAUCUUGUCAAUAGUCAAAGCCGGUCUUGAAAAACGCAUUAGACCCUAUAUAGAUGGAAGGAGGGAGUAUCAAGAAAGAAAGUGUUAGUGGAUUUAAUGUUUUUCAUGUGUUUCAAAAAUAUGUUCAUGGCAUUUAAAAAAAGGUUAUACAGUGUUAACACUUUCCUAACUAAAAAUAUGUUAUUACCAUUCAUAAAAUGUACAUUAUAUUUAAAGGAAAAAAUUCAUAUGAAUUCACAUAUUUGUUUGUGGUAUUUUUAUAAGCUUUUUAUGUUGUGUAAUGUAAUAUACUCAUAUGUUUAAAGUAACAUUUCAUAUCAUUCAGAAAAGGUUUAUCAUGUAUUUAAAAAAUGUGUGACAUGUAUUCAAAACAUCUUCAACAAUGUAAUGGUAAUUUUUUUAUCAUGUAUUUGAAAAUAGUCAACGUGUAACAAAACAAUGUUCCAGAUUUAUAUGAAAGUGUACAACCUGUAUUGUAAAAAAUUAGACAUGUAUUGAGUGAAAUUUCUAUACAUUCUUGAACAAUGCAAGAAAUGUUCGCCUACUUAUAAAAAUGUUUUGUAUCAUCGAAAAACAAUCUUGAAUAUGUGUUUGAAAAACUAAUUAACAUAUAUCCAUAAAAUAUACAGAACAUGUAUUAGAAAUAUAUUCAUCAUGUAUUUAAGUAAGGUGUGUAAAAAAAAUAUUCUAGGUGUAUAUAAAAAAUACAUGUAUUGAAAUAAGUAGGCAUGUACAUGAAAAAUAAAAAGAUCCAAGUGAAACCGAUUUAAAGAUACAGAAAAAUCGCAAAGAAAAACCUUAAAGAACCUCAGAGGAGAAUCAUGAAAAAAAAAUAAGCAAACCGAAAACCAAAUAUGUAACCUUCGUAACUGGGUCGGCCCAUUCGUGGCGUGCUAUGCGAGCCAGUGCUACAUCUCGUAUUCGGCGAGAUGUAGCCUUGGCACAGUUUUUUUUAGACAUUCUAUAGCCCUGUCACAAGUGCUAUAUCUUGUUUAUGGCGAGAUGGAAGGAGGUUUCACCUGAUGGAUUAUCUGCGCAGUAUACACCGGGCCAGCCCAUAUUCGCCGCUGCUUCGAUUGUUCGCUGUUCUCUUCGAUUUUCUUCCUUUUCCUAAUUAGUUUUUCUACAGCUUCUUAUUUCCUCACCAAUCACUUCAGUUCUUCUUUUACCCUUGGCAUUUUUUUGGGUUUAUUUUUUUAUCACCAGUAUUAUUUGUCCUUUUUUCAAUAUACAACGGUUUUCAUUGUCUUCUUGUUUUUCUUUUCUCUUGUUUUUUGUUUCUUUAUCCGUUUUUAUUGGUUCUAUUUUUUCAGUGCACAGCUACAUAAUUAGUGUACAGGUGAAACAUUUUGUUGAUAGACGGUGAUUUUUUUAAAAUAUACGAUGUCCAUUUUCCUUCAAUACAUGCUUCAACACUUUUCUGGACACAAGGUCAACAUUUUUUACAACUGCACGUUGAAACUUUUUUUCAUGGUAAUACAUAUUGUUUUUAAACUAUGCGAAAAUAAUGUUCCAUUUUUAGAAACAUUUUGGUAACUAUCGCAAACAUUUGUUUGAAAUGCCUUAUUUUUUUUCUCCAUAUAUUUUUUGUAUUCAUUGUUUUAUCACCUGAUUUUUUUUAAAUUUCUUCUUCUUUUUUUCUUUGUUAUACUUUGCUGUUCUUUGUUUUUCUCAGUUUUCUUUUCGUAUAUUUUAUUGGUUUUUAUUGUUUUUUAUUGGUAUUUUUUAACACAUGUCUACUUCUUUUCAGUGCACAAUAUACAUAUUUAGUAUACACGUGAACCAUAUUUUUAUACACAUUUUUUUACAUAUACAUGAUGUACAUUUUUCUUUCAAUACAUGUUUGAACACUUGUUUUCAUACAUGGUCUCUAUUUUUUUUAAAUACACGUUGAAACAAAAAAUUUAAGUGUACUAAACAUUUUUAAACAACAUGGACAUGUUUUACAUUUGUAUUUACAUUUUGGUAAAUGUCACAAUGAAUUUGAAAUGUGGAAGCAUUUCUUCAGAAUGCCACGUACAUUCUUUUAGUGGUACAAAACAUUUUUAUAAUAUGUCAUAGACUUUAUUUACAUUGUAUACACAUUUUUUUAAAAAUCUUAUGUUGAUUUUUUUUCUUAUGUUUAAUAUGCGACACACAUUUUUUUUGAAAGAAACGAACAUUUUCCUUUGCCACGAACAUUCUUUUUGAAAGCCAUCAACAUUUGUUUAAUUGUGCUAACACUUUUUAUACUGUUUAACAUUUUUCAAAUUCAUGGAUUCAUUUUUUAAGUAACCUUAUGUUUUUUCAUUAUACAUAUGAAUAACAAAAAAUAAAAGCGAAAUUAACAUAGCGUCAACGCGAUGACCCACCUCUCUAUUGGACCGGGCCACCUUCGGCUCCGCUCGCAGGCGAGGCAGCCGCCUUGCUAUAAGCGAGACAUAGCCUCGCCCUAGGUUACUACUUGUGAUUUUCCUAAUUUAAUUACUGGCAAUGCUUUUUUUUGCGAACUAAUUACCGGCAAUGCUAAUCACCCUUUACUAAUUGUAAACUGACUCAAACACAACUAGCACCACUUACGUGACCACUUCCUAGGGCCAGUUCUUUUGGGCGGCUUAAAAAAUAAGCUGCCUCUCCCUAGCUUAAAAAAUAAGCCGCCUCUAAAUUUUUUUUGAGACUUCUAGAAUAUUUAUCCCAUGACUAGUUUAGAAGCCCCAACGAAUAUAGGAGGUGGCUUAUGGGAAAAGCUGGGGAGAGACAGCUUAUUUUUUAAGCCGCCGAAAAGAACUGGCCCCUAGUAAAACUACCAAAACUAAACUAGGUUUUGUUUGGAUUACCUAAACCAUCCUUUGCGCGCGGCUUUGUCUAAACGUGCAUUAUAUAGGGCCGUGUCUGUCGAGAAAGCUGAUGCCUUUUCGCUAUUACCUUAAAAUUCGCGUGCAUCUUUUGAGCCAAAACAACUCACAAGUCACAACUGGCGAGUGACGACUUUAACAACCAAUGGCAGGUUGCACCGAUGAUUUAGAUUCUGGGAACCUAAUCAUUUUGACCCACGCUAUAAGCCCAUUGGCUCCCCGGCCAACUUGCUUCAAAAUAAGCCUCCUCCCGUACUCACUGACGAAAGCAUUGGUUCCGCAGAUUCAUGGAGGCGCUCAUUUUAAACCUGUGAUCUCAUCGUCGUCGCAGGAAGCACGAUCGAGCCUGUGGAUCCCUCGCGCGUGCUCCCGCCCAUAAACUACCAGUUCCCACUUAAACAACCAGGCUCAGCCAAUAACAGCCGAUCAGCCGGUCUAGUUCGCAUCGGAGACGCAAGCCCCGCCCGGCCGGUGGAAUCUUCGGGGCUACUAAACGUGCGAGAGCUUCCAAAUCAGACUCCUAGGGAGGGCGAUCACGUCACGGAGGCGAACAAAACCGGGGGAUGAUUGGCUCUCGCUCGCCUCACCAACUCCUGUACAGUGUCUCCACCACCCAUCAUCCGUUUGAGUGGCCAAGACCAAGAGGAGCACGGAGCCAAAUUACUUGUUAACCUCGCGCAUUGGCGAGACGUUAACGUCGUAAUCGCCGUCGGCUAGCUCCGGAAGGAAAAGAGAGGGGUAGGAGAUUCCCGACGUUCCCGCGUCGCAACCGAGUGAAACAACAGGCCCAAGCCUCCACACCACACCCACGACCCACCCACGAACAUGCGGCCGGCCGCUGUCCCGGUGACGUCUCGCCCCCUCACCAACCGGUCGCGCGCGCGCCCGACGCGCACGGUGGGGCGGGCGAAUGGCUGCGCGCGGCGUGGCGGGGCCCGACAGGCCCGGGGCGCCGCGACGUUGGCCCUGCCUGGCACGAGAGCUACCGGGAAUCCGAGCGGGGAGAUUCAUGGGACGCCUAUGACGGGUGGGUGGCAGGCAUUCCCUGGGCCUACCGGUCGGCGUGGAUGGGCUGGCGUUGCUGGGCUGUUUUUGGUUCUCUCGGGGAGGCGGGCCGGGCGCGUGGACACCAGUAAAAGAAUUCGGGCGGCCUGUGGGAUCUCGACAGGUGGCUAUCACGGCGAAUCGGAUGCGGUUCCCGGAACGGACGGUGGAGGGCGACUCGAGCCGAGGCUGAGCCCAGCCAAGCCGGGCUUGGCUGCGGCGCCGCGAGCGAGCCUGCCUGUAUUUUUCGACCCUUUUAGUACUAUGUUGUCGUGAUAUUUUGCUGGCCCACUGCUCAAUAAUUAAAGUGGUACAGUACUACACCAAACAACGUUGCGCAGUCGCGACCCGCAAUAAUCCAGCGUGAGCGACGGGGCCCUUGGAGGCGCACAACUUGUGCACGUAACAGCUUGCGAGCCGUGGCUUGGCCAUGUCGCUACAGCCCUCCAGGCCCACGGAAAGCGACCUCCACUUUUGGGUGAAAGCGACGUGAAUGGAAUCGCUUCCAAUAACUGGUGCAGAUCUCAGAUCUGCUGCCGCCACAACUUGUCGUCUUUUUACGGUUUCGAGUAUUGGCCUGUAGGGUCGAGCUACUAGGUAAUUUUUGGGACAGUGAAAGAUUGUCUUCACUUGCUUUUCGAACCCAAGCUUGGAUGCGGUGAUUAUAUAAUGCAUGUGUAUUACUACCUUUACUAGCAGAAAUCCAUGCGUUGUCACGGGUUUUUAAAAUAUAUUUUUAAAGUUAUAUAUAUGCAUAUUAAAUUUCACAUGUAUAGAAAAGAUAGCCAGUAACGGUCAUGUAAUAAUUGAAGUCCACCUCACUUACGAUAUAAGUUGAUAAAAAGGUAAUUUAACAAUGUAUAUAUAGAGAGCGGUGAUCUAACUAAUAAUCUCUUAUAAAUUAACAUAUACUUGAUACCCUUCAGAUAUUCCGCACAAUAUCAGAAAUGUUGUCUUUAACUUUAUUCACACGAUAUUUAAGCAAAGAAUAAUAAGAACUUCCUUAGCUCAAAACUACACUGCAAGGGUAAUAUAUGUAGUUAGCACGAUAUUUUUGUGAAAGGUCUCAAAAUGUGCAACGAAUAAUACUCAUCGUGCAAACCGGACAAACCAAUUCAUUACCAUUCCAUGAGAGCAUACAAUCAAAAACAAAAUACCCAGACACAUCUCUGCAAUUUCCUAAAUUGAUAUUAUCUUGAAUAUAGUGAUAACAAUAAGAGACCGGUGUAACAUAUACUCACCACAAAGAGGUCGCACGACAGGACAAUCCUCUCACUAUCUCCACACAAUCAUCGUUUCCAUGGUGCCUCCCCUUUGCUCAACACCGUCGCCCGACCACUCCCCUCCUCUCGACGAAAUUGGCCGGCUCCUCCUCUCCCUGCCACGAUCACCCCCUCCUCUCCCCUCCAUAGCGUCGGCGCUCCUCCUCUCCACACAAUCGAUGGAGCCUGUCUGCUCUUGUCCCGGCCGCCUCCCUUCCCUCGAAACAGAAAUGUCCACGUGUUUUCACAAUGUGGAUUAAAUAAUGUUUUAAUCCAAAAAUGUUUAUAAACAUAAUGGUGUGUGAUUUUUGUUCAUAUAACGACAAACUAUUUCUCUCUCACUCCUUUCCUCUAGGGUGUGUCUCCUUAACCAUCCUCUCCUUACAAGGAGGUGACCCUUACAAGAAGACAAAAUAACAUCUUAUCCUCAACAACCCUCUCCUUACAAGAAGGUAAACCUUAGAAGAGAAAAACUAACGUCCUUCUCCCCAUGACUCUUCCCCUCAACCUUCACUAUCAUCAUGUGUCUAAUCUCUCUUUCAAAAUUGUAUAGCGNNNNNNNNNNNNNNNNNNNNNNNNNNNNNNNNNNNNNNNNNNNNNNNNNNNNNNNNNNNNNNNNNNNNNNNNNNNNNNNNNNNNNNNNNNNNNNNNNNNNNNNNNNNNNNNNNNNNNNNNNNNNNNNNNNNNNNNNNNNNNNNNNNNNNNNNNNNNNNNNNNNNNNNNNNNNNNNNNNNNNNNNNNNNNNNNNNNNNNNNNNNNNNNNNNNNNNNNNNNNNNNNNNNNNNNNNNNNNNNNNNNNNNNNCCCAGUGCCGCUACCCAGGCGACUCUUCCCCUCAACCUUCACUCUCGUCAUGUGGCUAAUCUCUCUCUCAAAAUUGUAUAGCGUGUGUGUGACAAUAGUAGUAAGAAACACAAACUGAAUCCAUAUUUACCCCCGCCACCGGCGCCGCCACCCAGGCGACUUGGGGGUAACCCUAGCUGCGCCGAAUACAGAUGGAAUACAACGAGAAAUGACCGCACACUAAAUUUUUGAUUUACAAAUAAUGAAAGACUCACUUAGUGCAAUGAUCUUUUUGGCUCCAACGAAAGUAACAGUUUUGGGACUGCAAAGGAACAUAAAGAAAAAUAAAUGUCAUGUAUACCGGAGAAAAAGAAACUAAAACAAAGACCUAGUUAACUAAAAUGACAGUAACCAUAAACUUAUUUCAUUUCAUUAUGGUAUGCACAUUGCUACGGCGACUUGCGACAUACUAAUUUAAAUGUACCACAUGCUUGGUACAGAAUGCUAAUCAUGGUUACUCCUUGAACGACGUCACUCCAUGGGCUCCUCACACAGUACACCACAAGCCAUGGCCAUAUAUAUCUAACAGUAGAAAUCACAUCUUGCAUGUUCAAGCGCAAAUCCCAUGAUAGCAUGCCCCCGCAAGAGCACACCUCGGCAAUCUCUUCCAUGUCUAUGGAGACGAGGGAGAAUCUGGACACAUACCUCCAUUGCAAGUGCCUCUCUGCCCCUCCCUGUGUCACCCUUCAUUACCUGUGUCUGCAGCGCCUAAAUCAGACGAUGGUGAGUCGAGUCUUAUUGUCCGCCCUACUUUCUAUAGCUUUACUCUCCACCUUACUUCUCGCUCGUUCGCUUAUGCAACCCCUAAGCUCGAAGGAAUUCUUUAGGCUUUGGAAUGUUCCAGGUCCAUAACCCCUGCUCAUUUUCAUUAGUAUUUGAUCAUCAGAUCCAUGAACAUCUAAAUGAAUAUCAGAAUACUUAAUUCUUUUUAAGCUAACUACUUAACUUUGUAUUGCUUAAUAUUUCUGAUGAGUAGAUAUGUUUCAUAAGUAGACUAAUUUAGAUAUAAAGUUUUUUUAGGGGAGCACAAACUUACUUUUGCCACAUCAUCUAUUUCGAGCAGAAGAGAAAUAUUGUAUGCAAUUUAAUGUGAUCAAAGCAUUGAUAUUGGUCACCACUAUAGUACGCCUUAGGAACCAACCAAGAUGUCAAAUAAUCUCAUUUAGCUGAUUGCUACACAAGAAUCUCUAGGGGAUCACUUGUUUGUAUCACUUGAUGUCAACUAAUAUCUUUUGAGUGCAAGUCUCUGCACAUAAAUACAAAUUGUAGAAGACAAUCUUUCAUAAAGGAAUAGAAUAUAAUACACAACUGCUUGUCACAUGAGGGGACAAAGAUAUGUAUGGAACAGACUGCUUGAGCACCUUGUAUAGAAGGGAGUUCCCUCAAAAGAAUCGAAUCUAAAUCUGCCAAGUCCUAACGUUCAUAGAAACAAUCAUAAUGGUUGUGUGCUAGAAGAUAUAGAGUAUAGUUAUACCUUGAAAUGAAUAUGCCGUCCAUAGGUUUUGCAACAAGAGACCUAUAAAGGACCACAGUGGCGGAGCUUUGUUGGGGCAAAGGCAUGCCGUGGCCCGCCCACCGUUGUGGCUAACACACGUAGGUAGCAAGUCUGGCAAGCUCAAGCUAACUGAUGGAUGUAUUCUGCCUCCGGAAGCAUGAAGCACACGCAAACAACACUCAAAUUAGAUGAUGAUAGGUGCGUGUUAAAAAUUCAUGUUAGUAUUAUAGACGUAUAUUUAUGCUUGUAAUAUGUCAUCUACACAUGAUUUUUGAACUCUCAUUUGGGUAGGCCCGCCCAGUUUUUCGGUCUUAGCUCCGCCACUUAAGGAGCACAUCAGUUUUGCAGAUAAAAGAGGCAUUCAUCAUAACAGAACACAUUGAUUCAAACACAAAAUCAAUAUAUCUUUGCUGUAGCUAUUUUAUCAUUGCAAAUAACAAAGUAUAGCUUUCUUGAUAAAUGCAUGAAGAUUGAAAAGGAACUACUGAAAGUCAUCCUGCUUUAAAUUAAAUUAUAAAGAGCUGCGUGAGAUAUCUUUUGGUGGGAUCAGACAAGGAAAAUAUUAAUAGUCCAAAUAAAGGUAAGAAAGAUGCAGGUUACCUUCAAAUGUUCCGAGAAAACUUGCACAAAAAAGAGCCACGUGCUGCAAGCCUCUGUAAUAUACUUCUCACCUUGUUGUAAGAGUAAAUUUGUAAGAAAAAUAGUCCCAUUUAUUUUAUUGGCCCUAUUAUGUUGCCAACACACAUUCUGAUAUUUGAACCGGCAAGAAUCACUUUGCUAUAUGAUACAUCUCCAACGUAUCUACUUUUCCAAACACUUUUGCCCUUGUUUUGGACUCUAGCUGGCAUGAUUUGAGUGAAACUAACCCGGACUGACGUUGUUUUCAGUAGAAUUGCCAUGAUCUUAUUUAUUGUGCAGAAAACAAAAGUUCUCGGAAUGACUUGAAAAUCCACGGAGAUAACUUUUGGAAAAUAUAAAAAAUACUGGCAAAAGAUGAUACCAGGGGGGCCACACCUUGUCCACGAGGGUGGGGGGAAAGCCCUCCCCCCUGGGCGCCCCCCCUAUCUCGUGGGCCCCCUAGAGCUCCGCCGACCUCAAUUCCAACUCCAUACAUUCCGUUUCACGGAGAAAAAAAUCAGAGAGAAAGUUUCAUCGCGUUUUACGAUACGGAACCACCGCCAAGCCCUAAUCUCUCUUGGGAGGGCUGAUCUGGAGUCCGUUCGGGGCUCCGGAGAGGGGGAUUCGUCGCUGUCGUCAUCAUCAACCAUCCUCCAUCACCAAUUUGAUGAUGCUCACCGCCGUGCGUGAGUAAUUCCAUCAUAGGCUUGCUGGACGGUGAUGGGUUGGAUGAGAUUUACCAUGUAAUCAAGUUAGAUUUGUUAGGGUUUGAUCCCUAGUAUCCACUAUGUUCUGAGAUUGAUGUUGUUAUGAUUUUGCUAUGCUUAAUGCUUGUCACUAGGGCCCGAUUGCCAUGAUUUCAGAUCUGAACCUAUUAUGUUUUCAUGAAUAUAUGUGAGUUCUUGAUCCUAUCUUGCAAGUCAAUAGUCACCUAUUAUGUGUUAUGAUCCGACAACCCCGAAGUGACAAUAAUCAGGAUACUUCUCGGUGAUGACCAUAGUUUGAGGAGUUCAUGUAUUCACUAUGUGCUAAUGCUUUGUUCUGGUUCUCUAUUAAAAGGAGGCCUUAAUAUCCCUUAGUUUCCACUAGGACCCCGCUGCCACGGGAGGGUAGGACAAAAGAUGUCAUGCAAGUUCUUUUCCAUAAGCAUGUAUGACUAUAUUCAGAAUACAUGCCUACAUUACAUUGAUGAAUUGGAGCUAGUUCUGUGUCACCCUAUGUUAUAGCUAUUACAUGAGGAAUCACAUCCGACAUAAUUAUCCAUCACUGAUCCAAUGCCUAUGAGCUUUUCACAUAUUGUGCUUCGCUUAUUUACUUUUCCGUUGCUAUUGUUACAAUCAUUACAAAACUACUAUCUUUACUUUUGCUACUGUUACCAUUACUAUCAUACUACUUGCUACUAAGUACUUUGCUACAGAUACUAAGUUAUCUAGGUGUGGUUGAAUUGACAACUCAACUGCUAAUACUUAAGAAUAUUCUUUGGCUGCCCUUGUGUCGAAUCAAUAAAUUUGGGUUGAAUACUCUACCCUCAAAAGUUGUUGCGAUCCCCUACACUUGUGGGUUAUCAAGACUAAUUUCUGGCGCCGUUGCCGGGGAGCAUAGCUCUAUUCUUUGAGUCACUUGGGAUUUAUAUCUGCUGAUCACUAUGAAGAAGUUGAAAGACGCAAGAACCAAUAUUUUGCCCUCAACUACGAGGGGAGGUAAGGAACUGCGAUCUAGCUCUGCACUAGAUUCUCCUUCCGUUAUUAGUAAGUUUGCGACACCUAAACCUGCUACUGCUAUGAAUUCUGAUAUGUCGCAUGUUAUUGAUGAUGCCACUUCUGCUAUGCAUGAUACUCAUGAUGAAACUGCUUCUGUGUGUGAUACUACUGUGCCAUUAGGUGAAUUUCUUGAUGAACAACUUGCUAGGGUUAGAGAGAAUGAAAUUAUUGAAGAUGCUAUUACUUAUGAUAGUGAUGAUGAAAGUUCUCCCCCUGAUUAUGAAUUACCUAUUGUUCCUGAGGGUUAUGUUAUGAAUGAGGAAGCUGCUAAAGCUAUUUUUGCUUGCAAAGAUAGAUAUGAUCUUAAAAAGUUAUUAGCUAAAUGGAAGCAGCAGUCCCUUCAUGCUAGAAUGAAACCUGACCCUGCUUUUGCUACUUCACCUAUCUGUGUUACUGAUAAGGAUUAUGAUUUCUCUAUUGAUCCUGAAAUAAUUACUUUGGUUGAAUCUGAUCCUUUUUAUGGCCUUGGAUCUGAAACUGUUGUGGCACAUCUUACCAAGUUAAAUGAUAUAGCCACCCUGUUUACUAAUGAUGAGAAGUCUCACUAUUAUUAUAUCCUUAAGAUAUUUCUGUUCUCAUUAAAGGGCGAUGCUAAGACUUGGUAUAAUUCCCUUGAUCCUAGUUGUGUGCGUAGUCCCCAGGAUAUGAUUUAUUACUUCUCUGCUAAAUAUUUUCCUGCUCAUAAGAAACAAGCUGCCUUGCGGGAAAUAUAUAAUUUUGUGCAAAUCAAAGAAGAGAGUCUCCCACAAGCUUGGGGAGGCUUCUUCGAUUACUUAAUGCUUUGCCUGAUCAUCCUCUUAAGAAAAAUGAAAUACUUGAUAUCUUUUAUAAUGGACUAACCGAUGCUUCCAAGGACUACUUGGAUAGUUGUGCUGGUUGUGUUUUCAGGGAAAGAUGAAUUACUAUUGAAUAAUAUGUUGACUAAUGAAAAUAAUUGGACUCUUCCUGAGCCAAUUCCUGAGGCAAUUCCUGAACCAAUUGAGCCAACUCCUGAGCCUAUUCCUAAACCCACUCCAAAGAAGAGAGGUUUUCUAUUUCUCAGUCCUGAAGAUAUGCAAGAGGCAAAGAAAUCAAUGAAAGAAAAAGGUAUUAAAGCUGAAGAUGUUAAGAAUUUACCUCCUAUUGAAGAAAUACAUGGUCUUAAUCUACCGCCUGUUGAAGAAAAUCAUUGUCUUGAUAACCCGACACAGGUAGUAAAGGUAAAUUCUCUCUAUAGAUAUGAUAAAGUUGAAAUUCCCUCUACUGAAUUUCAUAGCCCAUGCUUAGAUGAACUUGAUGACUUUAUGGCUAGACAAGAAAGUUUUAAUGCUUAUGUUGGUAGAGAAUUAAAGAAUAAUUCUUUCGAGAUAGAAUGCUUGAGUGAUUAUAUGGCUAGAGUUAAAGGUGAACUUAAACUCAUUAGCAAAUAUGCUUCUAUGGUUACCACUCAAGCUGAGCAAGUACUUAAAGCUCAAAGCGAUUUGCUCGAUGAAUUAAAUAAUAAACAUGAUUUUGCUGUUAGAGUGGCUACUAGAACUGGUAGAAUGACUCAGGAACCUUUGUAUCCUGAAGGCCACCCUAAGACAAUCGAGCAGGAUUCUCAGAGAAAUAAUUUAGAGGCACCUAGUUCUUCCAAAAAGAAGAAAAAGAAAAACGAUAGGACUUUGCAUGCUUCUAAUGAACCUGUUGUAGACACACCUGAGAAUCCCAAUGGUAUUUCUAUUUCUAAUGCUGAAACACAAUCAGGUGAUGAACAUGAAUCUACUGAUAAUGUUAAUGAUAAUGUUCAUGUUGAUGCUCGGCCUAGCAAAAAUAAUGAAGUAGAGAUUGAACCUGUUGUUGAUCUUGAUAACCCACAAUCAAAGAAUCAACAUUAUGAUAAGAGAGAUUUUGUUGCUAGGAAGCACGGUAGAGAAAGAGAACCAUGGGUUCAGAAACCCAUGCCCUUUCCUCCUAAGCCAUCCAAGACAAAGGAUGAUGAGGAUUUUGAGUGUUUUGCUGAAAUGAUUAGACUUAUCUUCUUACGUAUGCGCUUAACUGAUAUGCUUAAAUCAAACCCUUAUGCUAAAUAUAUGAAGGAUAUCAUUACAAAUAAAAGAAUGAAAUCGGAAGUUGAAAUUUCCACCAUGCUUGCUAAUUAUACUUUUAAGGGUGGAAUACCAAAGAAACUUGGAGACCCAGGGGUACCAACCAUACCAUGCUCCAUUAAAAUAAACUAUGUUAAAACUACUUUAUGUGAUCUUGGAGCCGGUGUUAGUGUUAUGCCUCUCUCUUUAUAUCGUAGACUUGAAUUGAAUAAGUUGACACCUACUGAAAUAUCUUUGCAAAUGGCAGAUAAAUCAACUGCUAUACCUGUCGGUAUUUGUGAGGAUGUGCCUGUUGUGGUUGCAAAUGUCACUAUCUGUAGCGACCAGACCUCAAACAGUCUGAUCUCUAUGCAUCAGUGUCAUCCCUGGAUCGGUAAUGCUGACACGCACAGUACUUGAAGGAUUUAUAACAGAGUAGCAAUCACACACUUAUUACAUCGAAUGUCUCAAAAGAGAACUUAUUACAAUAAAUAUGGCUUCAGGCCAUCUAAUAACGAUAACAGCGGAAUGCUUGGAAGAUAAGCGAGUCCAUCAACUCCAACGACAUCACUGAGUAUAAGACCAUGACCUAAGGCACCUUACUUGUCGUCUGAAAAGUCUGCAACAUGAACGUUGCAGCCCGAAAACGGGUCAUCACGUGGAAUAUGCUAGCAAUGUAACACAUAGAGAGUAAUGAACAGAUUAAUGCUAUACUACAUGCAUAUAUGGCUGGUGGAAAGCUCUAUGGUUACAGUUUUGCAUAAAGCCAAUUUUUCUCUACUGCAAAGGAAUAAAUUUUAUUUAACUAUCAUGGUGGUUGUUAAACAUUGAGAAGGGUACUCCAACUCAAUCCCAAUUAAACAUCAUCAUUAAACCCAACAAAUUAAUUUAAAGUAACAUGAUGAGAUUCACAUGAUAAUCCAGAUACUAGAUACUCAAAACGUCCAUAACCGGGGACAAGGCUAACCAUGAUUAGUUUAUACACUCUGCAGAGGUUUGCGCACUUUUACCCACAAGACUCGAUCUCCUCCUUUGGAUUUCUCGCACUACAUGGUGUUUGAGAAACGGAUGACCGAGACACAGUCUUUCAGAAGCAUAAACUCCCUACUCCGGGUAGACAGUUACACCUACUUUCCCCUACAUCUGCUAGUCUACCUUUUCAAGGGUUCACACAACUUAAUCAACUAUGCUAGAGCCCAUAGUAGCUUGUGGCUGCACACGGAAGUUUCUAGCAUGAAUAAUCUCAUAAUCCCUUUGAGCCUGGGCGGUGGUCCAUAGGAGAAUCACACGGUACCCCGAGAUUUUCAAAAAAAUACAGGCAACACUGGGUUCCCCAGGUGCCUCAAUCCACCCAGAUGUGAGUUUAAGUUGCCACCUUAAGUAAACCAUUAAAUAUCACUCUCACAUCUGUCAUGAAUACACUCACCCAAUCCACAUCUACUAGCAUAGCAUGGCAAUAUAAGCAAACGUAGAAGUAACUUCCAAAGGUUUGAUAAUAAAACAGGUAAUAGGUACUACCUCAUCUACUUCCCAAAACCCACAUACUAAUCAGAUCCUAACCAUGCAAUUGUUUGAGGGUUGAUCUAAUACAAUACAUCUGGGUAGUAGAGAAGUAUGAUCAAAGUGUUACUUGCCUUGCUGACGAUCCGUGAAACCUAGAGAUUCGAAGUAGCAAGCGGCGCACUCCGGGUACUCUAUCGCAAACAAACAAGCAUAGAAUAAGCACUCAUCUAAUGCACAGGUAAAACUCAAAUAGGAGAUCUAACCAGAAAGUUCAACUUAAGAACUCCGGUUUGCAAAAAGAAUCAAAUCAAACGAAGCAAUGAAAGUCAAACGGCGAAAGAAACAAGCUUCGUUUACUAAUCUGGACCUAAGUCAAAUUUUACAGUAGCAAAAACUUGUUUGAGUUGGUUAAACGGAAAGAGAGUUUCAAGACGAAACUCUAGGCGCUUGAAUCACCUAAUUCCGAUAAACGAGCGAAAAGUUAUACUAGAACGAAAAUCGGAUCAGAAAUCGCGAUCUCGAAUAAUCACGAAAAAUCUGAGAAAAAGAAAAACGGAUGAACAGGCUAACGAACGAACGUUCGCUGUCUGCGGCUAAACGACGAAAACCGUUCGUUAAAACAAACGAACGAACGGGCGUUCGCUAAAUAACUAAACCGGAAAAAAAUAAAAUCGAUCUAAAAAACGCAUCUCGGUUUUUUGAAAAAAAAUGAACAACUUUUUUUCCAAAAACCGGCGUCUACCUCGGGUUAUGUGUCGGCGGCAGCGGCGGGGUACUCCGGCGAGGGUCCGGCGGGGCGGCGGCNNNNNNNNNNNNNNNNNNNNNNNNNNNNNNNNNNNNNNNNNNNNNNNNNNNNNNNNNNNNNNNNNNNNNNNNNNNNNNNNNNNNNNNNNNNNNNNNNNNNNNNNNNNNNNNNNNNNNNNNNNNNNNNNNNNNNNNNNNNNNNNNNNNNNNNNNNNNNNNNNNNNNNNNNNNNNNNNNNNNNNNNNNNNNNNNNNNNNNNNNNNNNNNNNNNNNNNNNNNNNNNNNNNNNNNNNNNNNNNNNNNNNNNNNNNNNNNNNNNNNNNNNNNNNNNNNNNNNNNNNNNNNNNNNNNNNNNNNNNNNNNNNNNNNNNNNNNNNNNNNNNNNNNNNNNNNNNNNNNNNNNNNNNNNNNNNNNNNNNNNNNNNNNNNNNNNNNNNNNNNNNNNNNNNNNNNNNGAGGCGGCGGCGGCUAGGGUUAGGGCGGGGCUGGGCGACUCGGGCUAGGCUUCCCCGGCUUAUAAAGGCCGGCCGGGCUAGAGUCCGGGUCGGGUACGGCCUGGCUAGGUCGGUUGACUUUUUUUUUUAAAUAAUUUCGCGCAGAAAAACGAAUAAAAGAAAUACUAAAGAGACUCCAAAAAUCCUGAUAUAAAUUUUCUCCGACUUCUAAAAUCAAGCCGGACAAGAUGAACAUUUAUUUUGGACCUAAAUGCAAUUUUGAAAAAUGCACAUUUUUCCUAAAUUCAAAUAAAAUAGCCAAAAACUCUGAAAUAAAAUCUUAUUAGAUUUUUUAUUAAAUCCUCAAUAUUUAUUUAUUUUGGGAAAGUUAUUUUAUUUCCUCUCUCAUAUUUUUAUAAUAGAAAUAAUUGAAGAUAAAAUAAAUAAAAUCAAAUGAUCCUAUUUUCAAAAUUUGAGAAAACUCAAAUAUGAAAAUAACGAAAUCCCCAACUCUCUCCGUGGGUCCUUGAGUUGCGUAGAAUUUCUAGGAUCGAGCCAAAAUGCAAUAAAAUAUGAUAUGCAAUGAUGAUCUAAUGUAUAACAUUCCAAAUUGAAAAUUUGGGAUGUUACAAACCUACUCCCCUUAAGAUGAGUCUCGCCCUCGAGAUUCGGGUUGGCUAGAAAAUAGGUGAGGGUGGUCCUUCAACAGAUCUUCCUCUCGCUCCCUGGUAGCUUCAUCUUCAGUAUGGUGGCUCCACUGAACUUUGCAAAAAUUCAUGACCUUGAUGCGGGUGACUCGGCUGGCAAACUCGAGAAUCUUGUCUGGUUUCUCCUCAUAGGUCAAAUCACUAUCCAGCUGAAUCGCUUCCAGCGGCACUAUAUCUCUCAGCGGUAUAUCAGCCAUCUCUGCGUGGCACUUCUUCAACUGUGAAACAUGGAAUACAUCAUGAACUCCUGACAAUCCUUCAGGCAAUUCUAACUUGUAAGCAACUUCUCCCAUACGCUCCAAAACUUUGUAUGGUCCUACAAAACGUGGCGCUAAUUUUCCCUUAACUCUGAAGCGCUUAACUCCUCGAAGUGGAGAUACACGAAGAUAAACUCUGUCUCCGACCUCGUAAGCUAUCUCCUUGCGUUUAGAAUCUGCAUAGCUCUUCUGUCUGGACUGGGCUACCUUGAGCCUAUCGCAAAUCAACUUCACCUUCUGUUCAGACUCCUUAAUCAAAUCUGGUCCAAACAACUAGUGGUCCCCAACUUCAUCCCACAACAAUGGGGUCCUGCACCUCCUUCCGUACAAGGCUUCGAAAGGGGCCAUCUUCAAACUGGAUUAAUAACUGUUGUUGUAAGAGAACUCCGCAUACGGCAAAUUCUCGUCCCAACUAGAUCCAUAAUCGAGCGCACAAGCUCUCAGCAUGUCUUCCAGAAUCUGAUUGACUCUCUUGGUCUGUCCAUCUGUCCACGGAUGAAAGGCCGUACUGAACCCUAGCUUGGUACCCAAAGUUUCGUGCAACUGAUUCCAGAACUUUGAGGUAAACUAGGUUCCUCUAUCUGAUACAAUGCUCCUCGGAACUCCAUGCAGACAUAUGAUCCUGAUCAUGUAUAUCUUGGCCAACUUAGCACUGGUGUAAGUGGUCUUUACUGGGAUGAAAUGAGCUACCUUCGUCAAUCGAUCGACUACAACCCAUAUCGAGUCAUAGCCUGAACGAGUCCUGGGCAAUCCCGUGAUAAAAUCCAUGCCUAGUUUAUCCCACUUCCAUUCGGGGAUCGGCAAUGGCUGUAGCAAUCCUGCUGGCUUCUGAUGCCCUGCCUUCACUCUCUGACAUACAUCACAAACUGCUACAUACUCCGCAAUAUCCUUCUUCAUUUCAGUCCACCAGAAAGUGUCCUUCAAAUCCAGAUACAUCUUGGUAUUUCCUGGGUGAUUCGAGUACGGCGAAUCAUGGGCCUCUUGCAGAAUCAACUUCCUGAUCUUCGGGUCAUUGGGCACAUAAACGCGGUCUUCAAACCAUAAGGUAUCAUGCUCAUCCUCACGAAAUCCUUUAGCCUUUCCUUCGCUCAUCCUCUCCUUUAUCUCCGCAAUCUCCUUGUCAGUCUUCUGAGCUUCUCUGAUCUUAUCCAUCAAAGUCGACUGAAUCUCCAAUGCUGCAACAUAGCCUCUCGGAACUAUCUCCAAACAUAGCUCACGAAGAUCCUCGGCUAACUCCCUUGGUAACUCUCCGGUCAAGAGUGUGUUGACAUGGCUCUUGCGGCUCAAUGCGUCGGCUACUACGUUAGCCUUUCCAGGGUGAUAAUGCAAUCUCAUAUCAUAAUCCUUGAUGAGCUCCAACCAUCUCCUUUGCCUGAGAUUUAACUCCUUCUGUGUGAAAAUGUACUUCAAACUCUUAUGAUCUGUGUACACCUUACAAUGAUUUCCGAUGAGAAAAUGUCUCCAAGUCUUCAAUGCAUGCACUACGGCUGCUAACUCCAAAUCAUGGGUAGCAUAAUUCAACUCAUGGGGCUUAAGUUGUCGUGAGGCAUAUGAAACAACUCUUCCCUCCUGCAUAAGCACUGCUCCAAGUCCUCGACGUGAAGCGUCACAAUACACCUCAUAAUCCUUGCACUGAUCUGGCAGAAUCAACACAGGUGAUGUAACCAAACGUUUCUUCAACUCUUGAAAACUGGCCUCACAUUCCUCUGUCCAUUUAAAUUUGGUGUCCCUCUUCAACAACUUCUUCAUGGGCUUAGCAAUCUUCGAGAAAUUCUCAAUGAACCUCCGACAGUAUCCUGCGAGUCCAAGAAAACUCCGGAUCUCUCCAACUGUUGUUGGUGCUUCCCAAUUUGUCACAAUGACAACUUUGGUGGGGUCUACUGCUAUUACUUCUCCGGAUAUAACAUGUCCGAGGAAUCCAACUUCCUUCAACCAAAACUCACAUUUGCUGAACUUGGCAUAUAACUGAUGUUCUCUGAGCUUCCCAAGUACCAAACGCAAAUGCUCCUUAUGCUCCUCUUCAUUCUUUGAGUAGACCAAAAUAUCAUCAACGAACACCACGACGAACUUAUCCAAAAACUCCAUAAACGCCUUAUUCAUCAUGUUCAUGAAACAUGCAGGUGCGUUAGUCAGACCAAAUGACAUAACGAUAUACUCAUACAGAUCGUACCUGGUGGUAAAAGCCGUCUUAGGUAUAUCCUGCUCUUGAAUCUUCAACUGGUGGUAUCUUGGCCGCGGAUCGAUCUUGGAAAAUACCUUAGCUCCUUGCAAUCGGUCAAACAAGUAAUUGAUCAUCGACAGUGGGUACUUGUUCUUGACUGUCACCUCAUUCAAUCCUCGAUAAUCAACAACCAUCCUUAAUGAUCCAUCCUUCUUCUCCACUAGAAGCACUGGCAAUCCCCAAGGUGAAGAACUUGGGCGAAUAUAGCCUUUAUCCAGUAACUCCUUAAUCUGCUUCUUAAUUUCUUCCAAAUCUUUUGCGGGCAUCCUGUACGGUCUCUUAGAUAUAGGCCCUGUGCCUGGCAAAAGCUUAACCAAAAACUUAAUGUCCCUAUCCGGUGGCAUGCGUGGCAACUCUUCUAGAAAUACGUCAGGAAAAUCCUUCACCACUGGUACUUCCUCCUAUGCAACUCUUGAUAAGGAAUUUACUUGAGUCCUCUUCGGCACAUACCAGGAUACAUACUUCAUCCUUCUUCCUUCUGGCGUGGUAAGCAAAAUCGACUUACUGGCGCAAUCGAUGUUUCCUCCAUACAUCGAUAGCCAAUCCAUACCCAGAAUCACAUCCAAACCUUGCGACUCCAAAACUAUCAAAUCCGAAGGGAAAACAUGUCUGCCUAUGGCCAAUGGUACUUGAAAACAUCCUUGACUGGCCAUAUACUCCGCUCCUGGUGAGCUUACUAACAUAGGUGUUCUAAGAACUUUGGUAGGCAGUUUAUACUUAUCCACAAAUCCCCUUGAUAUGUAUGAAUACGAUGCACCAGUAUCAAAAAGAAUGAUUGCAGUAAAUGACUUAACCAAAAACUUACCUAUUACUGCAUCUGGCUGGGCUUCAACCUCCUUCACGCUAACGUGGUUCACCUAUCCCUUGUUGAAAGGGUUCGGCUUCUUCCCAGAGCUUCCAUUGCCAUUUCCAUUCUUUGCUCAGGACAUUCAGUGGCAUAAUGUCCAGUCUUCUGGCAUUUGUAGCAGGUAAUGUGGCUCAGAUCCCUCUUGGCUGGUGUUGAUGGGUUGGUGCGGUUUUGUCCGUUGCUUCCUCCAUUCCCAUUACCAUUCGUGGGGCCACUAUGGUUGUGCGAACUACCUCCUCCAUGGGUAUGCUAAAAAGAUCCUCCUAAGUUCGGGGUAAAACGAGGCUUCUGCUGAGCUCCAGAAUUGUACUUCCCUUGUCCAUACUUCCUCUUGCGGCUGUCAAUCUGCUGCUGCUUCCCUUCAAUCAUGAGAGCACGAUCUACCAACUCCUGGUAGUUGUUGAAGGUUGCUACCAUCAACUGCAUGCUCAGCUCAUCAUUCAGUCCUUCCAGAAACUUCUCCUGCUUAGCUGCAUCCGUAGCAACGUCAUCUGGGGCAUAACAUGCUAGCUUACUAAAAUCAUCCACACACUGGCCAACAGUACGUCCUCCUUGGCGCAAGUUACGAAACUCACGCUUCUUCAUGGCCAUAGCUCCUGCUGAAACAUGGGCAGUACGGAAAGCCUGCUGAAACUGAUCCCAUGUGACAGUGUCGACGGGAUAAGUGGCUGUAAAAUUCUCCCACCAUGAUGCCGCGGGUCCAUCUAGCUGAUGUGCGGCAAAACGCACCUUCUCCGCAUCUGUGCAUCCUGCAGUGGUUAACUCCCUUCCCAUCUUGCGGAGCCAAUCAUCUGCAACUAUUGGCUCGGUGCUACUAGAGAACACCGAUGAAUUCAGCCUCAAGAAACGGGCUAAGUGAUCAACAGGUGGUGGUGGUGGUGGUGGUGGUGGGUUGUUGUUGUUCCCCUGAUUCUGAUUCUGGACUAAGAUCUGCAUCAAUGCAUUCUGCUGCUGGAUCAACUGAGUGAGCUCCGGUGGGAAAGCAAAUCCAUUGUCACGUCUGGGAGGCAUCUGAGAGUUUAGAAAAGAUGAGAAUACAAAAUAGAAUGAGGUCUAGAGAGAAAACAUUACCCAUAUGCACAUGAGACAAAAGCAAACAAUGUCACUUCAAUCAAUUCAAACAAAGGCAUACAACGGUCUAGCUAUCGUUACAAAAGUGCUCGGACUAUACUAUAUACAUGGAGGAAUACUACUACUGUUAUGGUGGUCGACUAGAAAAAUUGAUCGGUCAAAGACUCCAUGAUAUAUGCUCCAGCUUCAUCAACAAAGUCAUCAUCGCUAUCGUCUGGGUCUGAGUCGGUGUCAUGAUGAUGAUGUAGUUCUCCGGACAAGUGCAAUCAUUGUCUUCUUCUCCAGUGGGAAAUCCCAUAAACACCUUUAGCUUCUUCUUCAGAUCAUCAUUCUUCUCCAUGAGUGUCGUCAUUUCCUCCUCAUAUCCAUCGCGUGUAGACUUGAGUUCUUCUUCCAGCUCCGUGAUCUUGGUCAAUGCCUUCUUCAGAUCUAUCAUGCCUGCGCACAUCUGGUUCUCCAGGUGACGAAUGUGCUGGUUUAACUCCUGGAUGAAAGCUGCAAUUGAUCUAUCCUUCCUGGUGUUGAUCAUCUCCCAUUGCUCAUCUCGGCGCCCACAAAUCUGGUAGAUAUUAUCCUUAAGAUCCUUGUGGUAAACUUCUCCAAUGUGUCCCAUUGUGAUGUGGGCUGCCAUGCUCUUUCCUAGACUCCAGGUUGGUGCAUCAAAGGAAAACUCUAUGGGCUCAGUGACGGGCAUGAACGUCCUUCCUGGAACUUGAACUUGAAUCAUCCAACGCUCCUCUUCUGGUAAAGUGGCGAUGUAGGUCCCGGUGAAGCUUGGUACUCCAAUGUUCAAGUACUUAGCGACUUCAUUCAAGUGGCGUCCAAAGGGUGUAUCUUCAUCCGGUUGCGUGAACUUGUUCCUUGCAUCCGCCAUCCUAAAAGAGUGGAAAAGAUGAGAAGUCAGAAAUGAGAAGAGAGAGUAGUGAUCUAGGGCUUUAGCUUAGUGGUAGUGUCCUACAGUCAGCGUGUGCUCUGAUACCAUCUUGUAGCACCAGACCUCAAACAGUCUGAUCUCUGUGCAUCAGUGUCAUGCCUGGAUCGGUAAUGCUGACACACACAGUACUUGAAGGAUUUAUAGCAGAGUAGCAAUCACACACUUAUUACAUUGAAUGUCUCAAAAGCGAAAUUAUUACAAUAAAUAUGGCUUAAGGCCAUCUAAUAACGAUAACCGCAGAAGGCUUGGAAGAUAAGCGAGUCCAUCAACUCCAACGGCAUCACUGAGUAUAAGACCACGACCUAAGGCACCUUACUCGUCGUCUGAAAAGUCUGCAACAUGAACGUUGCAGCCCAAAAACAGGUCAACACAUGGAAUAUGCUGGCAAUGUAACACAUAGAGAGUAAUGAAAAGAUCAAUGCUAUACUACAUGCAUAUAUGGCUGGUGGAAAGCUCUAUGGUUACAGUUUUGCAUAAAGCCAAUUUUUCCCUACUGCAAAGGAAUAAAUUUUAUUUAACUAUCAUGGUGGUUGUUAAACAUUGAGAAGGGUACUCCAACUCAAUCCCAAUUAAACAUCAUCAUUAAACCCAACAAAUUAAUUUAAAGUAACAUGAUGAGAUUCACAUGAUAAUCCAGAUACUAGAUACUCAAAACGUCCAUAACCGGGGACACGACUAACCAUGAUUAGUUUAUACACUCUGCAGAGGUUUGCGCACUUUUCCCCACAAGACUCGAUCUCCUCCGUUGGAUUUCUCGCACUACAUGGUGUUUGAGAAACGGAUGACCGAGACACAGUCUUUCAGAAGCAUAAACUCCUACUCCGGGUAGACAGUUACACCUACUUUCCCCUACAUCUGCUAGUCUACCUCUUCAAGAGUUCACACAACUUAAUUAACUAUGCUAGAGCCCAUAGUAGCUUGUGGCUGCACACGGAAGUUUCUAGCAAGAAUAAUCUCAUGAUCCCUUUGAGCCUGGGUGGCGGUCCAUAGGAGAAUCACACGGUACCCCGGGAUUUCUAAAAAAAUACAGGCAACACUGGGUUCCCCAGGUGCCUCAAUCCACCCAGAUGUGAGUUUAAGUUGCCACCUUAAGUAAACCAUUAAAUAUCACUCUCACAUUUGUCAUUAAUACACUCACCAAUCCACAUCUACUAGCAUAGCAUGGCAAUAUAAGCAAACGUAGAAGUAACUUUCAAAGGUUUGAUAAUAAAAAAGGUAAUAGGUACUACCACAUCUACUUCCCAAACCCACAUACUAAUCAGAUCCUAACCAUGCAAUUGUUUGAGGGUUGAUCUAAUGCAAUAAAUCUGGGUAGUAGAGAAGUAUGAUCAAAGUGUUACUUGACUUGCUGAUGAUCCGUGAAACCUAGAGAUUCGAAGUAGCAAGCGGCGCACUCCGGGUACUCUAUCGCAAACAAACAAGCAUAGAAUAAGCACUCAUCUAAUGCACAGGUAAAACUCAAAUAAGAGAUCUAACCAGAAAGUUCAACUUAAGAACUCCGGUUUGCAAAAAGAAUCAAAUCAAACGAAGCAACGAAAGUCAAACGGCGAAAGAAACAAGCUUCAUUUACUAAUCUGGACCUAAGUCAAAUUUUAUAGUAGCAAAAACUUGUUUGAGUUGGUUAAACGGAAAGAGGGUUUCGAGACGACACUCUAGGCGCUUGAAUCGCCUGAUUCCGAUAAACGAGCGAAAAGUUAUACUAGAACGAAAAUCGGAUCAGAAAUCGCGAUCUCGAAUAAUCACGGAAAAUCCGAGAAAAAGAAAAACGGACGAACAGGCUAACGAACGAACGUUCGCUGUCUGCGGCUAAACAAUGAAAACCGUUUGUUAAAACGAACGAGCGAACGGGCGUUCGGUAAAUAACUAAACCAGAAAAAAAUAAAAUCGAUCUAAAAAAACAAUAAAAUCUCGUUUUUUUUGGAAAAAAAAUGAACAACUUUUUUUCCAAAAACCGGCGGCUACCUCGGGUUACGUGUCAGCGUGCAGCGGCGGGGUACUCCGGUGAGGGUCCGGCGGGGCGGCGGCGGUCAGCGGCGGGGUCCGACGGCGUCGGGCGGCGGCGACGGCGGCGGUGGCUAGGGUUAGGGCGGGGCUGGGCGUCUCGGGCUGGGCUUCCCCGGCUUAUAAAGGCCGGCUGGUCUAGAGUCCAGGUCGGGUAUGGCCCGGCUAGGUCGGUUAACUUUUAAAAAAAAUCGCGUAGAAAAAUGAAUAAAAGAAAUACUAAACGGACUCCAAAAAUCCCAAAAUAAAUUUCCCCGACUUCUAAAAUCAAACCAGACAAGAUGAACAUUUAUUUGGGGCCUAAAUGCAAUUUUGAAAAACACCAUUUUUCCUAAAUUCAAAUAAGAUAGCCAAAAACUCCGAAAUAAAAUCUUAUUUGAAUUUUUUUAUUAAAUCCUCAAUAUUUCUUUAUUUUGGGAAAGUCAUUUUAUUCCCUCUCUCAUAUUUUUAUAAUAGAAAUAAUUGAAGAUAAAAUAAGUAAAAUCAAAUGAUCUUAUUUUCAAAAUUUGAGAAAACUCAAAUAUGAAAAUAAUGAAAUCCCCAACUCUCUCUGUGGGUCCUUGAGUUGCGUAGAAUUUCUAGGAUCGAGCCAAAAUGCAAUAAAAUAUGAGAUGCAAUGGUGAUCUAAUGUAUAACCUUCCAAAUUGAAAAUUUGGGAUGUUACACUAUCUUAUCGGACUUUGUUAUUCUUGAUAUUCCCGAGGAUGAUAGUAUGUCGAUUAUCCUUGGUAGACCCUUUUGGAAUACUGUAGGGGCUGUUAUUGAUUGCAACAAAGGUAAUGUCACUUUUCAUGUUAAUGGUAAUGAGAAUACGGUACACUUUCUGAGGAAACAAUCUCAAGUUCAUAGCAUCAAUUCUAUUGGAAAAGUUCCAACUAUUAUUAUUGGAGGUUUUUAAUUUCCUCUCCCUACUGUCAAGAAAAAGUAUGAUGUUCUUAUUAUUGGGGAUGUUCAUAUCCCUGUUGAGGUAACCUAGUGUUAUUUGAAAUUUCUCCGGUUCUGUGUUAUUCGGAAUGAGUUUGUUAACAAGACUUGAUCAACCUUGUUAGUGGAUUCAUUUUGAUGAUCAUGAGAUGGAUGAAACUAGAUGGCACAACCUUCUGUACCCUCUUUUUACUUUCUGUUAUUUAGAAUAAAUAAAGCAAAAAUAGUAUUAUCUGUCUGUUUUCUGAAUUAUCUGUGCAAUAAAAAAUAUCCCGAAAAUAAAAGUGCUCCAAAUGCCUUGCAAAUUUAGUAUUAUUUUUUAUGGAUUAUUUGAGGAUUUUAGGCACUGAAAACACUGCAGGAGGGGCAAGCACCUGGCCACGAGGGUGGAGGGCGCGCCCACACCCCCUGGGCGCGCCACCUAUCUCGUGGGCUCACGGUGGCCCCCUCCACUUAUUCCUACACCCACACACUCCAUCUUCUUCCCAAAAAAAUCCUCAUCCAGCUCAAGCACGAGUUCUAGCUCAUUUUGCUGCGAUUUUCGAUCUCCUUGCUCAAAGCUCCAUUCACAAAACUGCUUUGGGAGAUUGUUGCUUGGUAUGUGACUCCUCCAUUGGUCCAAUUAGUUUUUGUUCUAGUGCUUUAUUCAUUGCAAAUUUUUGCUGCAUAGGUGACCCUGUUCUUGAGCUUUCAUGUCAAAUAUAUGAGGUCCCAAGUAAUUCUAAUGCAUGAUAUAGGCUCUAGGCACUUGUAGGAGCAGUUGCUACCAAUCUUGUUUAGUUUUACUCACUUUUAUUUUGAAGUUACUAAAAAUUACAGAAUUUUUUCAGAAAAAGAAAUAUGUCUAGGAGAAUGUACCAAGGUGGUUCUUCAACAAAGAAAGGAUCUAGGCGUGCUAUGCGUGAGCAAGACGAUGAGCUACCAAGGGAUGCCGAAGUGCGAGCUUGUGAGUGGCCAUUAGACGAGUUUAUGGUUAAUGCAGGCAUCAAGGAUGAAUUUGACGCAUAUGUGCGUAAUGCCGAUCUUGAGGACUUCUUACAAGAUAAGUGUCCUCAGUACUAUCAAUUGACUGAUUCAUUCAUAAGAAGGUUUAAAUAUAAAUCUUCGCGUAAUUCUCAGAGUGUCCUGUUUGAUAUUUAUGAUAAAUCUUAUACCAUGGACUUAGAAGAUUUUACAACUGCUUGCAAACUCCCGCAGUGGGGCAAUGUUCAUGAACCCCAUAAAUCUGAAUAUAAAGACUUUCUUGCUAGUAUUACUGUGGGAGAAUCUAGGGACAUAUCACAAGCUACCAUAGGGAGCAUUCAUUUUCCUGCUAUACAUUAUUUUGCUUUCUUCAUUGGUAGAUGCAUUAAUGGUAAAGAUGAAGCAUGUCAUAUGUGUGUCUCUGAUCUUUGUGUCCUCAAGAGUGCUGUGUUAGGUAAUAAAGAUUACAACUUGGGGGCAAUAGUCACACGUAGGUUGCAUAAUAAUGUAUGUCUGGAGAUUUAUUUGGGGGUAUUUAUGCGACCCGUGUUGCUAAUUAUCUUGGUAUAGCCCCACGAGAGGAGGAUAUGGUGUUGCCUCCUGCUUAUUUAGAUUAUGACGCGAUGGUCAAACAUCAUUUUCUUUUGAGCAAUGAACAAUUCCUCCAGUAUCGACUAAUCUUUGACAGACGUAGCUCUGUCCAUGUUACUCUCCCUGCUCCUUCCCUUUUUUAUUACCAUGCAAAACGAAGAUAUGUUGUUACCAGGGAGGAGGCAGCUGAACACGAGGGGAGAGCGGAGGCGGCUCGCCAACAUGCCGCAGCUCAGGAUGCAAUUGCUGCUGCAUCUCAGUACGACCCCAGUUACAACUACGGAUAUCAACCAGGUUACCCUUGGCAUUAGACCAACUUAGGCCAAAAGCCUAAGCUUGGGGGAGUACGUAUUUCUCACCGACUAUACAUUCAUGUUCACACACUAUUCUAGUCGUCGAUGCUUAUACUCUUUCGUUGUAUUAUCCAUGCUAGUUUAAUUUAUUUUUCUAGCUUUCUUGUUGUGUGUUUGAUAAACCUUAAGAAAAAACAAAAAAAUUAAUUAGUUUACUUUCCAUGCUUGCAGUAGAAAUUAAAAUGAAAACCCAAAAAAGAUUUCUCGUUCUUCUUUUACUUGUUGGGAGCUUUCCCGUGUAAAUAGUUUUAUUUCUUUUCCUUCCUUUCGGGGUCGAGAGUAGAAGACCAUAUUGAAAAUGCUUAGUGGCUCUCAUAUGCAUGAUUGUUGAUUUAAUUUAGAGGCCAUAUUGUUUUGUCUUCUCUCUUGAGUUGAAUGCUUGCAGAUUCCAGCUUAGUCUAAUGCACGUGCACUAUUAUUAUUAUACACAUCGUUCGGUCGUGCAAGUGAAAGGCAAUAAUGACGAUAUAUGAUGGACUAAUUGAGAUGAGAGAAGCUGGUAUGAACUCGACCUCUCUUGUUUUUGUAAAUAUGAUGAGUUAAUCAUUCCUGAUUCAGCUUAUUAUGAAGUAAACAUAUUUGCAAUGAAAUUUAGAGAUUAUAGCUGCUUGUGCCAUGCUUAAUUAACUAUGACUUAUAAUGGUUUACCUUGCGUGCCAACAUGCUAUUAAAAUGAUUGUGAUGUGGUAUGAUGGGAUGGUAUCCUCCUUUGAAUAAAUUGAGUGACUCGACUUGGCACAUGUUCACGCAUGUAGUUGAAACAAAUCAACAUAACCUUCACGAUAUUUAUGUUCAUGGUGGAUUAUAUCCUACUCAUGCUUGUACUCGGUGUGAAUUAAUUUUAAUGCAUGUUCAUGACUGUUGUCGCUCUCUCAGUUGGUCGCUUCCCAGUCUUUUGCUAGCCUUCACCUGUACUAAGCGGGAAUACUGCUUGUGAAUCCAAACUCCUUAAACCCCAAAGUUGUUCCAUAUGAGUCCACCAUACCUUCCUAUAUGCGGUAUCUACCUGCCGUUCCAAGUAAAUUUGUAUGUGCCAAACUCCAAACCUUAAAAUGAAAUUCUGUUUUGUAUGCUCGAGCAGCUCAUGUUUCAACUAGGGUUGCAUGUAUCUUCCAUGCUAGGUGGGUUAUUCUCAAGAGGAGUGGACUCCGCUCCUCAUUCACGAGAAAAGGGCCGGUAACCAGGAUGCCCAGUCCCAUGAUCCAAAAAGAUCAAAGCAAAUCAAAAUAAUUAAACAAAACUUCCCCAGGGCUGUUGUUAGUUGGAGGCACUCGUUGUUUCGAGCAAGCCAUGGAUUGAUGCUUGUUGGUGGUGGGGAGUAUAAACUUUUACCAUUCUGUUUGGGAACUGCCUAUAAUGCAUAUAGUAUGGAAGAUAUAGCCAUCUCAUAGUUGUUGCGUUGACAGUAAAAAUAUGCCGCUCAAAAUGUUAUUUAUCUCUAUUUUAAAAAUCGAGCUUUGGCACCUCUACAAAUCCCUGCUUCCCUCUGCGAAGGGCCUAUCUAUUUACUUUUAUGUUGAGUCAUCACCUUCUUAUUAAAAAGCACCUACUGGAGAGCACACUAUUAUUUGCAUGUAUUACUAUUGGUUUAUAUUGGGUAUGACUUGACUGGAUCUCUUUUACCAUGAAUUACAAUGUUUAGUCAGUCCUUGAUCUUUAAAGGUGCUCUGCAUUUAUGUUUUGCGGUCUCAGAAAGGGCUAGCGAGAUACCAUCUUGUUAUAUCGUAUUAUGAUUGUUUUGAGAAAGUGUUGUCAUCCGAGUUUUAUUAUUAUUGCUCGCUACCUAAUUAUGCCAUUGAUAUGAGUAAAUGUGAGACCUAAGUGUUAUUGUGAGUAUGGUUAGUCCAUAAUAUUUGCUGAAAACUUGAAUGCUCGCUUUACAUAUUUACAACAACAAGAAUAAAUAGAGUUUGUAAAAGUUUUUCUAUAUCACUUUCAGUUUAUCAACUGAAUUGCUUGAGGACAAGCAAAGGUUUAAGCUUGGGGGAGUUGAUACAUCUCCAACGUAUCUACUUUUCCAAACACUUUUGCUCUUGUUUUGGACUCUAACUGGCAUGAUUUGAAUGAAACUAACCCGGACUGACGCUGUUUUCAGUAGAAUUGCCAUGAUGUUGUUUAUUGUGCAGAAAACAAAAGUUUUCGGAAUGACAUGAAAAUCCACGGAGAUAACUUUUGGAAAAUAUAAAAAAUACUAGCAAAAGAUGAAGACCAAGGGGCCUACACCCUCUCCACGAGGGUGGGGGGCGCGCCCUCCCCCUGGGCGCGCCCCCCAUCUCGUGGCCCCCCUGGAGCUCCGCUGACCUCAAUUCCAACUCUAUAUAUUCCGUUUCACGGAAAAAAAAUAAAAGAGAAAGUUUUAUCGCGUUUUACGAUACGGAGCCGCCGCCAAGCCCUAAUCUCUCUCGGGAGGGCUGAUCUGGAGUCUGUUCGGGGCUUCGGAGAGGGGGAUUCGUCGCCGUCGUCAUCAUCAACCAUCCUCCAUCACCAAUUUCAUGAUGCUCACCGCUGUGCGUGAGUAAUUCCAUCGUAGGCUUGCUGGACAGUGAUGGGUUGGAUGAGAUUUACCAUGUAAUCAAGUUAGAUUUGUUAGGGUUUGAUCCCUAGUAUCCACUAUGUUCUGAGAUUGAUGUUGUUAUGACUUUGCUAUGCUUAAUGCUUGUCACUAGGGCCCGAGUGCCAUGAUUUCAGAUCUGAACCUAUUAUGUUUUCGUGAAUACAUGUGAGUUCUUGAUCCUAUCUUGCAAGUCAAUAGUCACCUAUUAUGUGUUAUGAUCCGACAACCCCGAAGUGAAAAUAAUCGGGAUACUUCUCGGUGAUGACCAUAGUUUGAGGAGUUCAUGUAUUCACUAUGUGCUAAUGCUUUGUUCCGAUUCUCUAUUAAAAGGAGGCCUUAAUAUCCCUUAGUUUCCACUAGGACCCCGCUGCCACGAGAGGGUAGGACAAAAGAUGUCAUGCAGAUUCUUUUCCAUAAGCAUGUAUGACUAUAUUCGCAAUACAUGCCUACAUUACAUUGAUGAAUUGGAGCUAGUUCUGUGUCACCCUAUGUUAUAGCUAUUACAUGAGGAACCGCAUCCGACAUAAUUAUCCAUCACUGAUCCAAUGCCUACGAGCUUUUCACAUAUUGUGCUUCGCUUAUUUACUUUUCCGUUCCUAUUGUUACAAUCAUUACAAAACUACUAUCUUUACUUUUGCUAGUGUUACCAUUACUAUCAUACUACUUGCUACUAAGUACUUUGCUGCAGAUACUAAGUUAUCCAGGUGUGGUUUAAUUGACAACUCAACUGCUAAUACUUAAGAAUAUUCUUUGGCUCCCCUUGUGUCGAAUCAAUAAAUUUGGGUUGUAUACUCUACCCUCGAAAGCUGUUGCGAUCCCCUACACUUGUGGAUUAUCACUAUACAAUACUCACUUGUUCAUGCAACUACGCCUGGCUUUAAUAUGACAAUCAUUCCAAUAUUUUUACAUAAUGGUUUAGACAAACUUCCCCAUUUGUGAUAACUUGGAAGAAAUUUGUUGAAUCUCCCAAAAAAGACCAAACAACAAUGAAGAUAAAUUAGGCUACAGUCAUUAAACUCCAACUACAAAUGCAAUAGGACCAGACCUGCAAAACACACAACACUCAUCAUCACUUUAUCUCACCAUGGAUAAAUCCUAUGACUGAAUUAUAUAUAAACUAAAAUCCCAUUAACAACAGUCAACAUAACCUUGAUCGCCAUGUAUGAGUUAGCCUGAUGCAGAGAAUAUCAAUAAUGGAAUUAAGAAAGACAAAUGAAUAAACCAAGCUUGGGCUACACCACUAACAUCAUAGUCUAAACUUGAUUCGCACAUCAAUAUCUUAAACUAAUAAGUGACAAAAAUGCAGGUAAAGGAAACAGUUUCAUGUAUAAACAGGGAGUGGUGAAAUGAACCUUUAGCACAAGCUCAUGUAGAAACAAUUUCAUGUUACACACUCUCAAUGUUCUGGCAAUUUGUAAAUGGCCCAAUGCCUGCUUGUCCUCUCACAUGCCACCGCAUCCAUACAAAGAGCAGUGAUAUACAUGCGACAUUAUGUUGUCUGAUAUUUCUACAAUACCAUCAACACAAGCAUCCAUGCCCAUAGGCCAUGGUUAUCCCAGUAGAUGAAAGAUCAAGUAAAGAAUCAAGUGAAUCUGCUAGCCACGUUGAGUCGUACAACCAUCAGGGUAAAAGUAUAGUACACAAGGCAUUACCGAGCAUCGAAUUGCAAAGCUAUCCAGGAGCUCGCCUAGUCUGAAAUCAACUGAUGUGACCUCGUGGUAGCCUGGUAGGCCUAGUCUGAAAGGACAACCAAGGGUUGGCACUAUAUAUACUCAUCUAAAUCUCAAAAAUACAUGAACAGAUUCAUAAACAUCAUUAUAUGUGACAAUAAAAUUGCCCAGUGACAAAAUAAUGCCAAUGUAAAUACUGAAAAGAAAUGUUCAUCAUAGCUGUAUGACUUACAUUUUCCUAUAAACAUAGAUAAAUAUGCAUCACUUGGUCGUUAGUGGCAGUAUUAAGGGCCAACAGAAUAUGCAAGAACAUAAACGAUAAUGCAGCAUCUCACAAAUAAAAAAUGAUAAUGCGGCAAUAAAGUCCAUAGUAGAAUAAAGAAGAUAACUUGGACGUUCGAAGCCAGUCAAAUAAAUAAGUCGACGUCCACUUUUCAAAUAAAAAUGACUUUUGACCUUUUUUCUAAUUUUUGAGAUAUAUCUUCAAUCUCUUGCAUCAAUCAAGGGUUCAAAUUGUCAAGUUUUAGCUGUGAGUGUAGGAAAGAACCAUAAUCAAACGGGGUGGCUCAUCCUCUUAAAAUCCAUAGGAAUUCUAGAGAACAAAGAAGGUAUCUGAUUCUGAAGGUGUGUAUGAAUCUUAGAAACUUUUCAAGUUCGUGUCCUUGGAGAUGGUUGUUGGUAUGGUACACUAUCAGGCCAUCCAAGUUCAUUACCUUCAGAAUCCCCUUUUGAGUCACAUCUGCAAGUGUUGGAUGCCAUGAUAAAAGCAGUGACAUUCCAUGGUACAUGCCAACGGAAAAUCAUGUCGGACGGUGCUCGUCGAAGAUGACAACGAAGCAGCCGUGCCGCCAACCCUCGAUCAUCUUCUUGCGGAGUCGGGAACAACCAUGACUGCCCAUGAUGAAUAAUUGUUUUCUGACGUGAAGUCAACCAUGAAAAGUUGGUAGUGUAGGAACUAUGUUGAAUCUAUUUUCAAGUGUCUUACUUCUAUAAUAUACAAGCACCAAUUUAUCUGCAAAGUUUGCAAAUAGAUAUUUACAAUAAACAUGGUAACAUUAUUAUUAAUAUAUCAAGUUGAAAUCAAAACUUCACAUAGAAUAGACACUUUCCAGAAAAUAGUGAUGCAUUGACUAUCUGUUGAAUGUGCAUUAAAUCAUAAUGUAUAUUCAAGUGUCGAUAACAUCAGGAGAUAACUUUGAUUUACUAAAAGCUUAAGGCAAGUGGCAUAAUUUUAAAAAUAAAAAUACUAAUACCAUGCCAUUUUAGAUGCAGGUAGUUUUAUGCAUCAGUACAAACACUCCAAAACAAAACUCAGCAGAAUCUGUUUUAGAAACAAAACUCCAAAACACCCCAUGUAGUAAAAUAAGUUGGCUAAGUAAAAAGAGAGCAAAAUUUUGACAUGCCUGACAUUGACAAUGCUAUGAAAUAUCAUGGCACUGUCAGCAUUAUCAAUUCUCUUGCUAGAAACAUUACCUUCACUCAGGGAUAGUACUAAUUUAGGCUACAGACAUGGUUACAGGCUUCUAGGUUAGUGCACAGCAGGAGGAAAACAAACAUAGACCUGAAUGACGCAGCAGGAGGAAAACAUAGUUAUGAACAAGCAACUGCAGCCUAUAGAUGUAAAUGAACUUGAUAAUUGUUCCCUGCUCUAGCAGAAAUAUAACUACAAUUACUAAACUUGACAUGAGAAUCAACACACCUGCAGGGACAUGUAGUCAGCACACAUAUAUGUUUGGUUCAUGCAAGUAAAACAUGUGAAAUUCCAUUAUAGGUGACAAGGGAAUGGAUUUACUCUAGAAAAUUGCGAGAAUUAAUUAGCAUGUCAAAAGAGAAUUAGAGGAGUAAAUCACAAAGCUUGUUUCAGCCAUUGGAGGAACAAGUCUGUUACUUAUCAUCAAAGAAGCAUGUUCAACACACGGCCUACGGUAUAUAUGCCUGGAGAGCAUGUCGUAGCUGUGCACCAACUGCUACCCGGACGCGGAGGCGCCGAUGUUGCCCCCGUGGCCUCCACCUCCCGCACAAUCUACAAGUGGCUCCGGUACCCCGUGUCCUUGAACGCCAACUUCUACAGCAGGUGCGUCACGCCGGAAGACUCCGUCAACUCGUUGACCAACCCCGACGCUGUGAACACCCCCACGAAUACCGAGGG
This 34362-nucleotide long non-coding RNA is filed under the name Triticum aestivum (bread wheat). RNAcentral describes it as "long non-coding RNA (TAES_LNC022694)". Lineage: Eukaryota; Viridiplantae; Streptophyta; Magnoliopsida; Poales; Poaceae. The record is from RNAcentral.